RNAcentral lists this ribosomal RNA (1496 nucleotides) under metagenome. Its description in RNAcentral is "bacterial SSU rRNA". It matches the Rfam family "Bacterial small subunit ribosomal RNA". The record is from RNAcentral.
AGAGUUUGAUCCUGGCUCAGAGCGAACGUUGGCGGGAUGUUUUAGGCAUGCAAGUCGAGCGGCAACAUGGGUGCUUGCACCUGAUGGCGAGCGGCGAACGGGUGAGUAGCGCGUAGGUUAUCUGCCUCGCAGACUGGGAUAGCCACCUGAAAUGGUGAUUAAUACCGGAUAUCUCCUUCGGGAUGAAAGGCGCGUUGGCGCCACUGUGAGAUGAGCCUGCGUCCUAUUAGCUUGUUGGUGAGGUAAUGGCUCACCAAGGCGACGAUAGGUAGCCGGCCUGAGAGGGUGAUCGGCCACAUUGGGACUGAGAUACGGCCCAGACUCCUACGGGAGGCAGCAGCUAAGAAUAUUCCGCAAUGGGCGAAAGCCUGACGGAGCAAUCCCGCGUGAGUGAUGAAGGCCUUCGGGUUGUAAAGCUCUUUCAGCAGGGAAGAAUAAGGCAGAGAGGAAAUGCUCUGCCGAUGACGGUACCUGCAGAAGAAGGACCGACUAAUUACGUGCCAGCAGUCGCGGUAAUACGUAGGGUCCGAACGUUGCUCGGAAUCACUGGGCGUAAAGGGUGCGCAGGCGGCCUGGUAAGUUGGUGGUGGAAUCUUGAGGCUCAACCUCAAGCGUGCCAUUGAUACUGCCGGGCUAGAGUCGCAAUAUAGGCAGCGGGAAUUCCUAGUGUAGGAGUGAAAUCUGUAGAUAUUAGGAGGAACACCAAUGGCGAAGGCAAGCUGCUGGGUAGCGACUGACGCUCAUGCACGAAAGCCAGGGGAGCGAAUGGGAUUAGAGACCCCAGUAGUCCUGGCCGUAAACCAUGUGCACUAGUUCUACGGAGUAUCACGAUUCUGUGGAACAAAGCAAACGCGUUAAGUGUACCGCCUGGGGAGUAUGCACGCAAGUGUGAAACUCAAAGGAAUUGACGGGGGCUCGCACAAGCGGUGGAGCAUGUGGUUCAAUUCGAUGAUAAGCGAAGAACCUUACCUGGGCUUGAACGUGUAGCGACAACCGGUGAAAGUCGGUCUUCCUUCGGGACGCUAUGCGAGGUGCUGCAUGGCUGUCGUCAGCUCGUGUUGUGAAAUGUUGGGUUAAGUCCCGCAACGAGCGCAACCCUUGCCCUAUGUUGCUACGCGCGUUUUUGCGCGCAGGACUCUUAGGGGACUGCCCCGGUCAACGGGGAGGAAGGUGGGGAUGACGUCAAGUCCUCAUGGCCCUUAUGUCCAGGGCUACACACGUGCUACAAUGGGAUGUACAGAGGGACGCGAACUCGCGAGGGCAAGCAAAUCCCAAAAAACAUUCCUCAGUUCGGAUUGCAGUCUGCAACUCGACUGCAUGAAGUUGGAAUCGCUAGUAAUCACAGAUCAGAAUGCUGUGGUGAAUACGUUCUCGAGCCUUGUACACACCGCCCGUCACACCACCCGAGUCGAAUCCACCUGAAGUCGCUGUACCAACCGCAAGGAGGGAGGUGCCGAGGGUGAGUUUGAUAAGGAGGGUGAAGUCGUAACAAGGCG